This is a long non-coding RNA of Hyaena hyaena (striped hyena), 879 nucleotides long. RefSeq lists it as uncharacterized. The transcript is spliced from 3 exons. The record is from RefSeq and is a predicted model, not a curated record. NCBI's taxonomy places the organism in Eukaryota, Metazoa, Chordata, Mammalia, Carnivora, Hyaenidae.
CACCCACCACCUUUCUUUAGUGUCCCGUUUUAGAUUUUAUUUUCAUCCGUGGCAUGCCCUGCAGCUGUGCAAACGAGGCAUCACCCAGAUGCUGCAGACACCUCGGUCUGUGCUGGCCGUGGCUGGGUUGCCUUUGGGAUAAGCCCCGACUCCUGAGCGGGGAAUGAGCCAGCUUCGUGUCUUCCCGGCUUUCCUGCACCCGUUGUGCUCUGCCUGAGGCCUCAACGAGACCCACGCGCUCAAGCUCCUGCCACAGCCGCCCUCACCGGAGCCCUGAUCCAUCCUGAUGAGUCCUGAGAAUGUCCCACUAAUGCUGCGUAACCCAGGGAGGCUUAGUGGCAGGGCCACAUCAUGACACGUGCAGAGGGGAGGUGACCAGCAAGGAGCGGGGAUGCACAGCAUCAAUGCUGCAGGGAGCUUGGCCAUGAGUACCCUGCACCCUCCUCCUCCCGCCCCCACGUCUCCUGCCCCCAUCUCCCCUGGGGACGCCCCCGUGGCUGAGGACAGCACAGGACGGAGAAGGAGGUGGAGUCUAUCUGCAGUGCAAACAUCACCAUCACGUUUCACAUCCAGUGUAAUCUCCGUGACACCUGUUGUGUUUCCACCAGCAGCAAGCACCCUCUCCACGCCCUUUCUGUCACUGCAGCUUAUGCAGUGGGCUCUGCGAUCUCUCCCUUGUCAGCCUUCUUCCUGCAUGAUCCAUACGGGAUGCUCACCUCUUACCACUCUGUGCCCAUGUAUUAUUCUCAACAAAUAGUUCCCCACGUUUCUUCCCAUUGAGUCUAGACUGGCUUACUUCCUGGCUCCUUUAUGGUGUAUCCACAUGGCCUCAUAUGAUGAAAUUCAUUAUGAUUCAUUAAAUUUGCUCAUAAAAAGAGC